UUUCUUAUAGAAUUUAUUAUAAGUAAGAUCUGCUCAAUGAAUUUAAAUAGCCGCAGAAUAUGUASUGUGCUAAGGUAGCAUAAUCAUUUGCCUUUUAAUUUAAGGCUAGUAUGAAAGAUCAMACAUUUAAAUUUUUCUAUACACUUUAACUUUCAAAUUUAAUUUAAAUGUAAAAAAACAUUUAUUAUAAAGAAAGACGACAAGACCCUAUUGAACUUCACUUUAGUUUAACUGGGGUAGUUAAUUAAUUAAAAUCUUAAUUUAUUUUAUUAUUAAAAAUAUGACCCAAUAAAAUUGAUUAAAUGAUCAAGUUACCAUAGGGAUAACAGCGUAAUAAAAUUUUAGAGUUCUUAUUAAAAAUUUAGAUUGCGACCUCGAUGUUGAAUUGAUAAAUCUAUUAAAUGCACCAUUAAAAAGAAGGUCUGUUCGACCUUUAAUAUAUCACA
RNAcentral lists this ribosomal RNA (446 nucleotides) under Deinopis sp. Dein_GG. RNAcentral's name for it is "partial 16S ribosomal RNA". Lineage: Eukaryota; Metazoa; Arthropoda; Arachnida; Araneae; Deinopidae. The record is from RNAcentral.